ACCCCGGCCCCAUGGACCCUCCGUCCCGGUCCUGCUGGGGCAGCACUUGGGGCAGAUUCCGGUGUUUCUUUCCAGAGCUUCUUGAUGUAAAUACCAGCAACUAUGGCAUCUCUUAGAGACCAUCCCCAGGACUCCACAAAUAGAUUCCUGUCUGUCUGUCUGCCGGCUCAUCUCUCCACCACACUCGGCUACGGAACAUUCCGCAGGAUGGACGGACGGCCUCCACAAAUAGCAGGGUGACACGGACACUUGCAGCUGCCAUUUGUCACACAGUAGCGGACAACUCAUCUCCCCGCCUGCGAGUCUUGAAUUCCUCCCAAGAUCCCAGGCUUUGAUCGGAGCCCUGCGCCCACGCAGGGGUGCGCCCUUCCCCAGGGGCGGGCAGGCUGAGGCCCGCUGACUCCACCUGGAGC
This is a long non-coding RNA of Leopardus geoffroyi (Geoffroy's cat), 413 nucleotides long. RefSeq lists it as uncharacterized. Lineage: Eukaryota; Metazoa; Chordata; Mammalia; Carnivora; Felidae. The transcript has 3 exons. The record is from RefSeq and is a predicted model, not a curated record.